GAAAUACAUGGUGUUCCCUCUUUGCCGGUGGAUAUGUGCAUGCUUUCCUGAAGAAUUAAUUAAGAAGCUAAACAGAGAAAAAGAUAACACUCAAGAAGCUGCCUAUAUGUAAGAGAUUCCUCUGAGAACUUUCAAAUGGCUCCUUUCUACAAAAGACCUGGGAAUACUUAAUCCCCCACCACUAGCACACUCAAAGCUCAAGGCAAGUGCGUAUUCAAGAUUGACAGGGUCAUGGACUCUGAAAGUCUUUGGACCUGAGAAAAAUCGUGCUAUCUAAGAGUGCAGUUAUUCUGACACAGACUGACAUCAGGUGCCCACGACAUGAAACACAGAAGAGAAAAAUAGCAUCUACCUUAUAGGAAGACAUACUAUAUUCUCGACCACAUAUUUGAUAAUUCUUACAGCCCUUUAAAGAUAAUCAUAACUAAAAUAUUAUUUUGUAACUCA
Molecule: long non-coding RNA, 447 nt
Organism: Symphalangus syndactylus (siamang)
Lineage: Eukaryota; Metazoa; Chordata; Mammalia; Primates; Hylobatidae
Source: RefSeq, a predicted model, not a curated record